CUACGGGCGGCAGCAGUGGGGAAUAUUGCACAAUGGGCGCAAGCCUGAUGCAGCCAUGCCGCGUGUAUGAAGAAGGCCUUCGGGUUGUAAAGUACUUUCAGCGGGGAGGAAGGGAGUAAAGUUAAUACCUUUGCUCAUUGACGUUACCCGCAGAAGAAGCACCGGCGAACUCCGUGCCAGCAGCCGCGGUAAUACGGAGGGUGCAAGCGUUAAUCGGAAUUACUGGGCGUAAAGCGCACGCAGGCGGUUUGUUAAGUCAGAUGUGAAAUCCCCGGGCUCAACCUGGGAACUGCAUCUGAUACUGGCAAGCUUGAGUGUCGUAGAGGGGGGUAGAAUUCCAGGUGUAGCGGUGAAAUGCGUAGAGAUCUGGAGGAAUACCGGUGGCGAAGGCGGCCCCCUGGACGAAGACUGACGCUCAGGUGCGAAAGCGUGGGGAGCAAACAGGAUUAGAUACCCUAGUAGUC
This 464-nucleotide ribosomal RNA is filed under the name uncultured bacterium. RNAcentral describes it as "partial 16S ribosomal RNA". It matches the Rfam family "Bacterial small subunit ribosomal RNA", at positions 339 to 795 of the family's 1533-position model. The record is from RNAcentral.